Molecule: ribosomal RNA, 524 nt
Filed under: uncultured bacterium
Lineage: Bacteria
Description: partial 16S ribosomal RNA
Rfam family: Bacterial small subunit ribosomal RNA
Source: RNAcentral
GACGAACGCUGGCGGCGUGCCUAAUACAUGCAAGUCGAGCGCAGGAAGCUGACGGAACUCUUCGGAGGGAAGGCAGCGGAAUGAGCGGCGGACGGGUGAGUAACACGUAAGGAACCUGCCUCAAGGAUUGGGAUAACUCCGAGAAAUCGGAGCUAAUACCGGAUAGUUCAACGGACCGACUGGUCCGCUGAUGAAAGACGCUCCGGCGUCACCUUGAGAUGUCCUUGCGGUGCAUUAGCUAGUUGGUGGGGUAACGGCCCACCAAGGCGACGAUGCAUAGCCGACCUGAGAGGGUGAUCGGCCACACUGGGACUGAGACACGGCCCAGACUCCUACGGGAGGCAGCAGUAGGGAAUCUUCCACAAUGGACGAAAGUCUGAUGGAGCAACGCCGCGUGAGUGAUGAAGGUUUUCGGAUCGUAAAACUCUGUUGUAAGGGAAGAACACGUACGAGAGGAAAUGCUCGUACCUUGACGGUACCUUACGAGAAAGCCACGGCUAACUACGUGCCAGCCGCCGCAGUAA